CCCCGGCAGCGCGAUGGCAAUGGUUCAGUCACAACCGUGGCGGUGGUGGCCUCCUCAUCUUGGUUCGGUGAAGCGGCUCUACCUUGAUUCAAUGCUGGAAUCUAUGCACGCCCCAGCAUGUGUUAACGGGCCGUGGCCCUCACAUCUCGGUGUGGCAUGGUGGGGCUGUGACUGAACCGUCACCACAUUGCACUUUUCAGUGUUGGUGCCGAUGUCGGCAGGAGGGUGGUGGCAGCUUCCUAACGUCAUGUUCGGCUACUAUGGCUCGGUCGACUACCUCCUCCUUGGCCACUACUCAGCUUCCCCCAGCACGAUGAUAGUGGUCCGAUCACAACCAUGGUGGCGGUGGCCACCUUAUCCUUGAUUCUGACAUCAACCAUGUGAAGAACCGACGAUGCAGAUGACCUCGGGAUCCUGUUUACGGGAUGAACCUACCUAGAGGCGCUGCAUCUACAAGACAUCGACGGGCAAGUCUGAGGUUCUUCUUGAGCACAUGAAUCUUUUAUUGUCUUGUUUUUUAUCUCUAUUUUCAGUCACUAUAAGUUUGUAGUGAUGGUUGUCGAGUUUAACUAUCCUCUUACAAGUUCCUCUAAUUUGCGGAAGAGGCUGAAAAUCUCGGGAGACCAUGUGUGGUCAUCAGCUUCAUCUCUUGUUCCUACGAGAUGGGAGUUAAAUAAUGACACACGAUUCCACCAUGCCCAAUGCAUCCUUCAAAAUCUAUUAGCAAGAAUUGAGAAACAAACAAUUCCCAACUUAACUUAAAAUGUGAUAAUAUUUCCCGAAAAACAAAAUAAACCACGUUCCAAUGGCUUCAAGUUUUAGUAACCAAUAUCUAAUAGCGGAUAUGAAUCAUGUAACAUUGAUGAAAUUCAGAAGCGCAAGUCUUUCUUUCGUGCUAUUGUUAUGCAUGUUUUCGCCAUCGAUGUCCAACUAGAAUUUUCUACAUCUAGAUUUGUUAGUGAACCGUUGAACUGCAAAUAUUCGUGUAAUCAUGUUUUGUACUAGUGAAGGCAGUGACGAGUUGCAAAGAAUGUUGUCGAUGUCGCCGGUAGCAUAGUAUUUGGUGUUGGUAGUAUCAGCCAGCAUUUGGCAUCAUUCUUAGAAUUUCUAGUGUCUUAUUGGAUCCAGUCACUAUAUAAAACAUGUAGUUUGUGAAGCUGCUUUGGUUUCUGUGUAUAUAUGCACUGCAGUUUGCUCUACAGGAGGACUAGAGAGAAAGAGGAUGUUUGGAAAUCUCAGGACAAGGCCCUGUUUAUUUUUCGGUCAGUUUUUAUCAAGUGGGGGCCAAUGUUGGUCUCGUGUCGGAGAGACACACUCAGGGAUUGAAGCGGCUCUAUCUAGAUUCAACGCAUGAAUCUGCCUGCACCCCAGCAUGCGCCGAUGAGCCGUUGCCCCACACCUCGUAGUGGUGUGGGGUGGUGGUAACCGUAUGGCAACAUCAGUGUCGUAACCUCUAUGUGAGGCAACUACGACUCGGUAGACUACCUCCUCCAUGCCCACUACCACGUCUCCCACUGCAGUGCGAUGGCAAUGUUUCGAUCACAACCGUGGCGGUGGUGGCUGCCUCGUCUUGGUUCAGUGAAGUGGCUCUAUCUAGAUUCAAUGCUGGAAUGCCUACACGCCCCAGCAUGUGCCAAUGAGCUGUGGCUCUUGCACCUCGGUGUGAGAUGGUGGGGUGGUGACUGAACUGUCACCGCCGUGCACUUUCGGUGUUCGCAUCGAUGCCGGCAGGAUGGCGGUGGUAGGGCCCUAACAUCCAUGUACAGCUCGACGGACUACCUUCUCCUUGGCCACUACCUUGGUUUCGCCCGCAGCCAUUGGCACUGGUGCGGCCACAACUGUGGCGGUGGUGGCUGCCUCGUCCUCUGUUCUGUGAAGCGGCUCUACCUUGAUUCAAUGCUGGAAUUUAUGCGCGCCCAACAUGUGGCAACGAGCUGGGACCCUCACGUCUAAGUGUAGCAUGUUUGGUUGUCACCGAACUGUCACCACUAUGCGCUUUCAGUGUUGGCACCAAUGUUGGCAGGAGGGCGGUGGUAGCUUGCUAACGUCCAUAUUCGGUUACUAUAGCUCGGUGGAUUACCUCCUCCUUGGCCACUACCUCAGCUUCCCCCAGCAUGAUGAUAGUGGCCAGGUCACAACCAUGGCGGUGGUGGCUUCCUUGUCCUUGGUUAUUACUUCACCCUUGUGAAGAACCGAUGAUGCAGAUGGCUUGGGGAUCCUAUUUACAGGAUGAACCUAACUGGAGGUGCUGGAUCCACAUGACAUUGACAGGAAAGUCUGAGGUUCUUCUUCAGCACAUGAAUCUUUUAGUGUCUUGCUUUGUUUUUUAGUCGCUAUAAGUUUGCAGUGAUGGUUGCCAAGUUUAACUAUCCUCUUGCAAGUUCCUCUGAUUCGCGGAAGAGGCUGAAAAUCUCAGGAGACCAUGUAUUGUCACCAGCUUCAUCUUUUGUUCCUACGAGAUGGGAGUUAAAUAACGACACAAGAUUCCACCAUGCCCAAUGCAUCCUUCUCAAUCUGUUAGCAAGAAUUGGGAAAUAAACAAUUCCCAAUUUAGCUUAAAAUGUGAUAAUAUUUCCCGAAAAACAAAAUAAACCAGUUUCCCAAGGCUUCCAGUUUUAGUAACCAAUAUCUAAUAGACAAUAUGAAUCGUGUAACAUUUGGAUGAAAUUCAAAAGUGCAAGUCUGUCUUUCCUGCUAUUGUUAUGCUUAUUGCGGCCAUCGACGUCCAACUGAAAUCAACACCAGUUGGACUCAUCACUCCAAACUUUUCCACAUCUAGAUGUGUCAGUAAACCAUUGAACUACAAAUUUUCGUGUAAUCAUGUUUCGUAAUGGUGAAGGUAGUGGCGAUUUGCUAAGCAUGUUGUUGUCGUCGUAGGUAGCAUACUACUUGGUGCUGGUAGUAUCGGUCAACAUUUGGCGUCAUCUCUGAGAAUUUGUAGCGUCUUAUUGGAUCGAGUCACUAUAUAAAACAUUUAGUUCGUGAAGUGGCUUUGGUUUCUGAGUAUAUAUGCAUUGCAUUUUCCUCUUCAGCAGGACUGGAGAGAAGGAGGUUUGGAAAUCUCGGUAAAAGGCCCUCUAUAUUUUCCGGUCACUUUUCAUCCAGACACUCAGGGAUCUAAGCUUUGGAGUGUGCUUUCACUUAAUAUGUGUAGGUCCAUGACAAGUAGAUUGGCUGAAUCCAACUCCCCUAUUCUGAAUGUUAGCUCGUUCAGUCAUUGAAUAUAUAACUUGUAUUGGUUGUAUGGGGUUUUGUCCCGAAACUAGAGUCGCAUCCUAGCUUAAUUACCUAGAAAUGCAAAAUGUUUAGUUCGUGUUUAAAUUUCUCCUUGUUUCACUCUCGUAGGCGAAUCAUUUGUGGUUUUGUGCUUGGGAUGUAUUCAUCUCUCUGGUUAGGAAGUUAUCAGGAGCCCAUCCAUAAACUUGAGGAAGUCCAAAGUAUGAUAACUCUGAAAAAGAAAAAAAAAAUCUUCAUUUUGUUACA
Triticum dicoccoides is the source of this 3483-nucleotide long non-coding RNA. RefSeq lists it as uncharacterized. The record is from RefSeq and is a predicted model, not a curated record. Lineage: Eukaryota; Viridiplantae; Streptophyta; Magnoliopsida; Poales; Poaceae. The transcript has 7 exons.